UGGGGAAUAUUGCACAAUUGGCGCAAGCCUGAUGCAGCCAUGCCGCGUGUAUGAAGAAGGCCUUCGGGUUGUAAAGUACUUUCAGCGGGGAGGAAGGGAGUAAAGUUAAUACCUUUGCUCAUUGACGUUACCCGCAGAAGAAGCACCGGCUAACUCCGUGCCAGCAGCCGCGGUAAUACGGAGGGUGCAAGCGUUAAUCGGAAUUACUGGGCGUAAAGCGCACGCAGGCGGUUUGUUAAGUCAGAUGUGAAAUCCCCGGGCUCAACCUGGGAACUGCAUCUGAUACUGGCAAGCUUGAGUCUCGUAGAGGGGGGUAGAAUUCCAGGUGUAGCGGUGAAAUGCGUAGAGAUCUGGAGGAAUACCGGUGGCGAAGGCGGCCCCCUGGACGAAGACUGACGCUCAGGUGCGAAAGCGUGUGGAGCAAACAGG
This 429-nucleotide ribosomal RNA is filed under the name Chloroflexota bacterium. RNAcentral describes it as "Chloroflexi bacterium partial 16S ribosomal RNA". It matches the Rfam family "Bacterial small subunit ribosomal RNA", at positions 355 to 776 of the family's 1533-position model. Lineage: Bacteria; Bacillati; Chloroflexota. The record is from RNAcentral.